UUUGUGGUCCUUCAUGAAUGGUGACUGGGUUUUGGGGUGGACUGGUUGGAUUUGGGAUUCUCAACUGGUUAUCAGGAACUUAUGUAGCGCAAGGAAGAAUGCUGGGGUUAGAGACGAACAUCUGAGGGUAAUUCAUGUCAUCCAAAGGCAACUGAUGUCAUCUACCUGGGCUUCCACAAUGUCCUUGACAAGGUUGCACACCACUCCCUCAUCUCAAAAUGGGGGCAUUGGGCUGUUCUGCAGAGAAGGAAUAGGUUGGAAAGUCGCAGCCAGAGGGCUGUGGCCAACAGCUCCAUGUCCAGGUGGAGGUGGUGAUGAGUGGUGACCCCCAGAGGUCCCUCCUGGGAGCGCUGCUCUUCACCACCUCUCACUGACACAGAUGAUGGGAUGGAGUGCCCCCUCAGCACUUUGCUGAUGGCACUGAGCUGAGUGCUGCAGUGGAGACGACAGAAGGAAGGGAUGCUGGGAAGGGCAAACAGAAGAGAGCUUCAUCAUCUUCAUGGCGGCCAUCGUUGCUCUUUGCUGAUUCAGGACUGCCACCUCCAGAGCUUCAAAACCAGACAGAAAGGCACCUCCCAGCAUUGGGUUGGCCUCUCAUGGGAAGGCAAAGAGCAUCCAUGGAAGUGGGUGAACCACUCUCCCUCCUCUCACCUUCUCACUGUCCCCAAGCUGCUCCUGCCUCAUGGCACCAAUGGCGGUGGCCCUCAUCCACGGUGAGUGACAAUGGGGAUGUGGUGCCACAGGGGUUGGUGGCGCAGUGUGGGACCAGGACCGUGUCCCUUGCAGGUUGGUGGCUGGUGACAACGAGCAGGGCACAGCAACGUGAGUAUGGGGAGAAUGGGGACAGAGGGAGGGGAGUGUG
Gallus gallus (chicken) is the source of this 862-nucleotide long non-coding RNA. RefSeq lists it as uncharacterized. The record is from RefSeq and is a predicted model, not a curated record. The transcript is spliced from 3 exons. NCBI's taxonomy places the organism in Eukaryota, Metazoa, Chordata, Aves, Galliformes, Phasianidae.